GCCGAAGUGGCGAAACUGGCAGACGCACUAGAUUCAGGUUCUAGCGCCCGUAAGGGUGUGCGGGUUCAAAUCCCGCCUUCGGCACCA
RNAcentral lists this transfer RNA (87 nucleotides) under Nitrospira sp. RNAcentral describes it as "tRNA-Leu". It matches the Rfam family "tRNA". From Rfam's summary of the family: Transfer RNA (tRNA) molecules are approximately 80 nucleotides in length. RNAcentral also lists the same sequence under 2 other names. Lineage: Bacteria; Pseudomonadati; Nitrospirota; Nitrospiria; Nitrospirales; Nitrospiraceae. The record is from RNAcentral.